GCCUGCCACUUGGCAGGGAGAGAGCGCGUCUGCCAGCGUGGCAGGGUGGGCGCUAAACAUAGCCGGGCGGUUCAACAGGCUUUGCUGCAGCAGCUUGUUUUCAUCUGCUGGGAAAAUGCAGGGCCCAGGGGCUGGGUCUCAUCGGGACCCUGGAAUUCCCUUGUUUGGCAGAACUUGUUACUGGAACCCCAUGCCAAGGCAGAGCAACAGCGGCUGAGAGGCUCUGUAACCGCCCCGAGUCACAUGACUGCUAAGUGGACAAACUGACUUUGGAAUUCAACACCGUCUGAACAUCUGUGUUGCCAGCUUUUGGCCUAGUUAUUGUUCUGUUUUAAAGGUUUUUUUUACUAACUGAAUGGCUUUCACAAAUAUUACAUAUUAUUAAAAUACUAUCUUCCUUUUA
This is a long non-coding RNA of Manis javanica (Malayan pangolin), 403 nucleotides long. RefSeq lists it as uncharacterized. The record is from RefSeq and is a predicted model, not a curated record. Lineage: Eukaryota; Metazoa; Chordata; Mammalia; Pholidota; Manidae.